RNAcentral lists this ribosomal RNA (346 nucleotides) under uncultured bacterium. RNAcentral describes it as "bacterial SSU rRNA". It matches the Rfam family "Bacterial small subunit ribosomal RNA", at positions 143 to 507 of the family's 1533-position model. The record is from RNAcentral.
AUAACAGUUGGAAACGACUGCUAAUACCGCAUAAGCGCACGGUAUCGCAUGAUACAGUGUGAAAACUCCGGUGGUAUAAGAUGGACCCCGCGUCUGAUUAGCUAGUUGGUGAGGUAACGGCCCACCAAGGCGACGAUCAGUAGCCGGCCUGAGAGGGUGAACGGCCACAUUGGGACUGAGACACGGCCCAAACUCCUACGGGAGGCAGCAGUGGGGAAUAUUGCACAAUGGGGGAAACCCUGAUGCAGCGACGCCGCGUGAGUGAUGAAGUAUUUCGGUAUGUAAAACUCUAUCAGCAGGGAAGAUAAUGACGGUACCUGACUAAGAAGCACCGGCUAAAUACGUG